GUUGGAUUAGCUAGUUGGUGGGGUAAGGGCCUACCAAGGCUACGAUCCAUAGCUGAUUUGAGAGGAUGAUCAGCCACAUUGGGACUGAGACACGGCCCAAACUCCUACGGGAGGCAGCAGUGGGGAAUAUUGGACAAUGGGGGAAACCCUGAUCCAGCAAUGCCAUGUGUGUGAAGAAGGCUCUAGGGUUGUAAAGCACUUUAGUUGGGGAGGAAAGCCUGUGAGUUAAUAGCUUGCAGGAAGGACGUUGCCCAAAGAAUAAGGACCGGCUAACUCCGUGCCAGCAGCCGCGGUAAUACGGGGGGUCCGAGCGUUAAUCGGAAUUACUGGGCGUAAAGGGUCUGUAGGUGGUUUGUUAAGUCAGAUGUGAAAGCCCAGGGCUCAACCUUGGAACUGCAUUUGAUACUGACAAACUAGAGUAUGGUAGAGGAAUAGGGAACUUCUGGUGUAGCGGUGAAAUGCGUAGAGAUCAGAAGGAACACCAAUGGCGAAGGCAACAUUCUGGACCAAUACUGACACUGAGGGACGAAAGCGUGGGGAUCAAACAGGAUUAGAUACCCUGGUAGUCCACGCUGUAAACGAUGAGUACUAGCUGUUGGAUUCGGUGUAAAGGAUCUAGUGGCGCAGCUAACGCGUUAAGUACUCCGCCUGGGGACUACGGCCGCAAGGCUAAAACUCAAAGGAAUUGACGGGGACCCGCACAAGCGGUGGAGCAUGUGGUUUAAUUCGAUGCAACGCGAAGAACCUUACCUGGUCUUGACAUCCUGCGAACUUUCUAGAGAUAGAUUGGUGCCUUCGGGAACGCAGUGACAGGUGCUGCACGGCUGUCGUCAGCUCGUGUUGUGAAAUGUUGGGUUAAGUCCCGCAACGAGCGCAACCCCUAUUGAUAGUUACCAUCAUUAAGUUGGGUACUCUAUUGAGACUGCCGCUGACAAGGCGGAGGAAGGUGGGGACGACGUCAAGUCAUCAUGGCCCUUACGACCAGGGCUACACACGUGCUACAAUGGGU
RNAcentral lists this ribosomal RNA (1009 nucleotides) under Francisella orientalis. RNAcentral describes it as "bacterial SSU rRNA". It matches the Rfam family "Bacterial small subunit ribosomal RNA", at positions 235 to 1235 of the family's 1533-position model. The record is from RNAcentral. Lineage: Bacteria; Pseudomonadati; Pseudomonadota; Gammaproteobacteria; Thiotrichales; Francisellaceae.